This 225-nucleotide ribosomal RNA is filed under the name uncultured bacterium. RNAcentral describes it as "partial 16S ribosomal RNA". It matches the Rfam family "Bacterial small subunit ribosomal RNA", at positions 109 to 334 of the family's 1533-position model. The record is from RNAcentral.
AGUAACGCGUGGGUAACCUGCCUCAUACAGGGGGAUAACAGUUAGAAAUGACUGCUAAUACCGCAUAAGCGCACAGUGCUGCAUGGCACAGUGUGAAAAACUCCGGUGGUAUGAGAUGGACCCGCGUCUGAUUAGGUAGUUGGUGGGGUAACGGCCUACCAAGCCGACGAUCAGUAGCCGACCUGAGAGGGUGACCGGCCACAUUGGGACUGAGACACGGCCCAA